Molecule: ribosomal RNA, 380 nt
Filed under: uncultured eukaryote
Lineage: Eukaryota
Description: partial 18S ribosomal RNA
Rfam family: Eukaryotic small subunit ribosomal RNA
Source: RNAcentral
CAAUAGCGUAUAUUAAAGUUGUUGCAGUUAAAAAGCUCGUAGUUGGAUUUGUGGCUGUCACGGGCGGCCUAUCACUUAGUGUUAGUGCUUGCCUGUGUCGCCAUCCUUGGGUGGAGCCCGUGUGGCAUUAGGUUGUCGUGCGGGGGAUGCCCAUCGUUUACUGUGAGAAAAUUAGAGUGUUCAAAGCAGGCUUAUGCCGUUGAAUAUGUUAGCAUGGAAUAAUAAGAUAGGACCUCGGUACUAUUUUGUUGGUUUGUGCACCGAGGUAAUGAUUAAUAGGGACAGUUGGGGGUAUUCGUAUUUCAUUGUCAGAGGUGAAAUUCUUGGAUUUCUGAAAGACGAACUACUGCGAAAGCAUUUACCAAGGAUGUUUUCAUUAA